RNAcentral lists this ribosomal RNA (490 nucleotides) under uncultured bacterium. Its description in RNAcentral is "partial 16S ribosomal RNA". It matches the Rfam family "Bacterial small subunit ribosomal RNA", at positions 30 to 507 of the family's 1533-position model. The record is from RNAcentral.
AUUGAACGCUGGCGGCAGGCCUAACACAUGCAAGUCGAACGGUAACAGGAAACAGCUUGCUGUUUCGCUGACGAGUGGCGGACGGGUGAGUAAUGUCUGGGAAACUGCCUGAUGGAGGGGGAUAACUACUGGAAACGGUAGCUAAUACCGCAUAACGUCGCAAGACCAAAGAGGGGGACCUUCGGGCCUCUUGCCAUCGGAUGUGCCCAGAUGGGAUUAGCUAGUAGGUGGGGUAACGGCUCACCUAGGCGACGAUCCCUAGCUGGUCUGAGAGGAUGACCAGCCACACUGGAACUGAGACACGGUCCAGACUCCUACGGGAGGCAGCAGUGGGAAAUAUUGCACAAUGGGCGCAAGCCUGAUGCAGCCAUGCCGCGUGUAUGAAGAAGGCCUUCGGGUUGUAAAGUACUUUCAGCGGGGAGGAAGGGAGUAAAGUUAAUACCUUUACUCAUUGACGUUACCCGCAGAAGAAGCACCGGCUAACUCCGUG